This 377-nucleotide ribosomal RNA is filed under the name uncultured eukaryote. Its description in RNAcentral is "partial 18S ribosomal RNA". It matches the Rfam family "Eukaryotic small subunit ribosomal RNA", at positions 592 to 975 of the family's 1831-position model. The record is from RNAcentral.
CAAUAGCGUAUAUUUAAGUUGUUGCAGUUAAAAAGCUCGUAGUUGGAUUUCGGGUGGGACGCAGCGGUCUCGCAUUGCGUUUGUACUGCUUCAGCCCUCCUUCUUGCCGGGGGCGGCCUCUCGGACUUCACUGUCUGGGGGUCAGAAUCGGCGAUGUUACUUUGAGUAAAUUAGAGUGUUCAAAGCAAGCUUACGCUCUGAAUAUAAUAGCAUGGGAUAACACGACAGGACUCUGGCCUAUCGUGUUGGUCUAUAGGACCAGAGUAAUGAUUAAGAGGGACAGUCGGGGGCAUUCGUAUUCCGUUGUCAGAGGUGAAAUUCUUGGAUUUACGGAAGACGAACAUCUGCGAAAGCAUUUGCCAAGGAUGUUUUCAUUG